This is a long non-coding RNA of Rhinichthys klamathensis goyatoka, 504 nucleotides long. RefSeq lists it as uncharacterized. Lineage: Eukaryota; Metazoa; Chordata; Actinopteri; Cypriniformes; Leuciscidae. The record is from RefSeq and is a predicted model, not a curated record. The transcript is spliced from 3 exons.
CAGUGGAUCCACUGGGGACAGUUCUAUGAGGAGUUCAGCUCAACAUCAUACAGAGGAGAUCGUACUGUGUAGGAGCACCAUUGGCACUAUGGCACAUUGAUGGAAAUCACAAACUGAUCAACUGGCGAAUUGUUAUUCAUGGAGGUAUUGAUGCGUACAGCCGAAAAAUAAUGUUUCUGAGAGCCAGCAACAACAAUCAAGCAACAACUGUGAGUUGCUUUCUUGCUGCUGUUAAAGAUUUCGGAUUACCUGUGAGGGUAAGAAGCGACAAGGGUGGAGAGAAUGUGGAGGUUGCCCGGUUUAUGCUGGAACACCCUCUUCGUGGAACAGAAAAGACCAGUUUUAUUACUGGCAGAAGUGUACACAACCAGAGGAUUGAGUGUCUUUGGCAAGACAUCUGGUGUGCAGUCACUUCAAAUUAUUAUCCUGCCUUCCAGUGCCUUCAAGAAAGUGGCACUCUGGACAUUCAAAAUGAAAUGUUAUCUGCCUACAUUACGUGAUGCU